Molecule: unclassified non-coding RNA, 314 nt
Filed under: uncultured fungus
Lineage: Eukaryota; Fungi
Description: partial contains 5.8S ribosomal RNA and internal transcribed spacer 2
Rfam family: 5.8S ribosomal RNA (bases 1-133)
Source: RNAcentral
UGGUUCUGGCAUCGAUGAAGAACGCAGCGAAAUGCGAUAAGUAAUGUGAAUUGCAGAAUUCAGUGAAUCAUCGAAUCUUUGAACGCACAUUGCGCCCCUUGGUAUUCCGGGGGGCAUGCCUGUUCGAGCGUCAUAUCGUCCAUCAAGCCCAGCUUGGUAUUGGGGCAUACCGUCCGCGGUAGCCCCCAAAAUCAGUGGCGGCGGCGGCUGGCCCUAAGCGUAGUAGCAAACCUCGCUAUAGGUCCCGGCGGUGCCUGUCAAACCAACCCCAAUUUUCGUAGGAUGACCUCGGAUCAGGUAGGGAUACCCGCUGA